CAAUAAGCGGAGGAAAAGAAACCAACAGGGAUUGCCCCAGUAACGGCGAAGUGAAGCGGCAACAGCUCAAAUUUGAAAUCCGGCCCCCGGGCCCGAGUUGUAAUUUGCAGAGGAUGCUUCGGGCGAGGUGCCUUCCGAGUUCCCUGGAACGGGACGCCACAGAGGGUGAGAGCCCCGUCUGGUCGGACACCGAGCCCGUGUGAAGCUCCUUCGAAGAGUCGAGUAGUUUGGGAAUGCUGCUCAAAACGGGAGGUAUAUGUCUUCUAAAGCUAAAUAUUGGCCAGAGACCGAUAGCGCACAAGUAGAGUGAUCGAAAGAUGAAAAGCACUUUGAAAAGAGGGUUAAAAAGUACGUGAAAUUGUUGAAAGGGAAGCGCCCAUGACCAGACUUGGGCCCGGCGAAUCACCCGGCGUUCUCGCCGGUGCACUUUGCCGGGCACAGGCCAGCAUCGGUUCGGCGCGGGGGACAAAGGCUUCGGGAACGUGGCUCCCUCGGGAGUGUUAUAGCCCGCUGCGCAAUGCCCUGCGCCGGACCGAGGUUCGCGCAUCGCAAGGAUGCUGGCGUAAUGGUCAUCAGCGACCCGUCUUGAAACACGGACCAAGGAGUCGUCUUCGUAUGCGAGUGUUCGGGUGUCAAACCCCUACGCGGAAUGAAAGUGAACGCAGGUGAGAGCUUCGGCGCAUCAUCGACCGAUCCUGAUGUUCUCGGACGGAUUUGAGUAGGAGCAUACGGGGCCGGACCCGAAAGAAGGUGAACUAUGCCUGUAUAGGGUGAAGCCAGAGGAAACUUCUGGUGGAAGCUUCGCAGCGGUUUCUGACGUGCGAAUCGAUCGUCAAAUAAUGGGCAUGGGGGGCGAAAGACUAAUCGAACCUUCUAGUAGCUGGUUUCCGC
Molecule: ribosomal RNA, 891 nt
Filed under: Cordyceps ghanensis
Lineage: Eukaryota; Fungi; Ascomycota; Sordariomycetes; Hypocreales; Cordycipitaceae
Description: LSU rRNA
Rfam family: Eukaryotic large subunit ribosomal RNA
Source: RNAcentral